UACGGGGGGGGCAAGCGUUGUUCGGAAUUACUGGGCGUAAAGGGCGCGUAGGCGGCCUGCUAAGUCGGGGGUGAAAGCCUGUGGCUCAACCACAGAAUUGCCUUCGAUACUGUUGGGCUUGAGUAUGGUAGAGGUUGGUGGAACUGCGAGUGUAGAGGUGAAAUUCGUAGAUAUUCGCAAGAACACCGGUGGCGAAGGCGGCCAACUGGACCAUUACUGACGCUGAGGCGCGAAAGCGUGGGGAGCAAACAGG
This 253-nucleotide ribosomal RNA is filed under the name uncultured bacterium. Its description in RNAcentral is "partial 16S ribosomal RNA". It matches the Rfam family "Bacterial small subunit ribosomal RNA", at positions 524 to 776 of the family's 1533-position model. The record is from RNAcentral.